RNAcentral lists this unclassified non-coding RNA (334 nucleotides) under soil metagenome. RNAcentral describes it as "partial contains 5.8S ribosomal RNA, internal transcribed spacer 2, and large subunit ribosomal RNA". The stretch from base 1 to 120 matches the Rfam family "5.8S ribosomal RNA", at positions 35 to 154 of the family's 154-position model. The record is from RNAcentral.
GAUGAAGAACGCAGCGAAAUGCGAUAAGUAAUGUGAAUUGCAGAAUUCAGUGAAUCAUCGAAUCUUUGAACGCACAUUGCGCCCGCCAGUAUUCUGGCGAGCAUGCCUGUUCGAGCGUCAUUUCAACCAUCAAGCCCCAGGCUUGUGUUGGAGCCCUGCGGCUGCCGCAGCCUCCCAAAACCAGUGGCGGGCUCGCUAUCACACCGAGUGCAGUAGUUUACUCUUCGCUCAGGGCGUGCAGCGGGUUCCGGCCGUGAAACCCCCUACUUUUAAAGGUUGACCUCGGAUCAGGUAGGAAUACCCGCUGAACUUAAGCAUAUCAAUAAGCGGAGGA